CAAAGAUUGAGCAUUGGCAUGUGACUUGGGACAAGUCCGUUGAGGCCCCCUUAACU
RNAcentral lists this unclassified non-coding RNA (56 nucleotides) under Acacia synchronicia. Its description in RNAcentral is "partial small subunit rRNA". The record is from RNAcentral. Lineage: Eukaryota; Viridiplantae; Streptophyta; Magnoliopsida; Fabales; Fabaceae.